UACCCUAUUAUUUAAAUUGUAAAUUAAUAAUUUAAUUAUUAAUAGUUAUGUUCUUAAAAAUUAAAAAAUUUGGCGGUAUUUUAGUCUUUUCAGAGGAACCUGUUUUAUAAAUGAUAUUCCACGAGUUAAUUAACUUUAAUUAUAAAUUUGUAUAUCGUCGUAGAUUGAUUAUUUUUAAAGAAUUUAUAAUAUUCAAAAUAUAUUUUAUAAAGAAUGUCAGAUCAAGGUAUAGUGUAUAUUAAAGUAAAAAUGGGUUACAAUUUUAUUUUAAAAAGGGAUAAUAAAUUGAAAAUUUAAUUAAAUAUGGAUUUGAAAGUAAUUUAAAAUAAAUAUUUUGAAUGAUAAAAGUUCCAAAAUAUGUACAUAUC
Molecule: ribosomal RNA, 368 nt
Filed under: Urgleptes querci
Lineage: Eukaryota; Metazoa; Arthropoda; Insecta; Coleoptera; Cerambycidae
Description: partial 12S ribosomal RNA
Source: RNAcentral